RNAcentral lists this long non-coding RNA (1912 nucleotides) under Nicotiana benthamiana. RNAcentral describes it as "long non-coding RNA (NBEN_LNC002895)". Lineage: Eukaryota; Viridiplantae; Streptophyta; Magnoliopsida; Solanales; Solanaceae. The record is from RNAcentral.
CUCCACCAUACCAGUAUUCACCCUCGAAUACCCCCCCCCCAUCACCUCAAAUAUUCUCCGAAAGGUCGUCGGAAAUCCUACCUCCCGCAAUCCUAUCCCAAAGUCCUUCAAAUUUACACCCCUAGGAAACCUCAAUCCCCUUGUUCCAACCAUGUAAAUCACUCCUCUCAAAUCAUCCUGAAACUCCUCGAAUUUCAAUUCAAAGGUUAACCCUAAAUCCCAAAACUUGCCAGAAACGCCUCAAACUUCUCCUAGUCAGUUCUUGGUCCCUUUUGACACCAACUACACUACUCAUGAGUCCCAAAACAACCCCAACCGCUGAAAAAUCCAAAUAUGAGACUUUAUUGAGGUCUCAGAACUGUGAAAGCCCCUCUUGAACCCUUAGAAUUGGUCGAACACUGUCCGAGGAGGUUCAGAACCCUGUAGAAAGGGUCAAAACCAGUUGAAAUGGUCUAAGCGGACAAGAAUAAAAAAGCUAAGUUUUCCUGUAUAUUUUCAUCUUUUUAGCUGAUUAAAUGCUUGAUUUCUUUUAUAUUACUGAUUAGGUUCAGUAGUUACAUGUUUAAUAGUUUGAAUUUCUUUUGGUUGUUUUUCUUGUUUAUCCGCAAGUUCAUCUGAAAAAGGUUUCAAUAUUCAUAUGCUUUAUUUGACACUAGUCUGGAAGUCUUUUCGUCUCUUGAAUAAUUUCCUGCUAAUAUCAGCUCAUUGGUUUUGAAAGCUAGUUAAUUAUUCAGUAAUAUGAUUUUUAGGGCUUAAUUGACAUCUAUCUUCUGAUUCUAUGAUUUCUGGUUCACCCUUAAGCAUUUGAUUGCCAUAAUGACUUUGGUUUUUCAGAAUUGAUGUUAGUUUAAGUUGAUUUGGGGGUCUGGACUUUUAGUUGUUCAUUGGUAGCCUUUACUUACUUCCUAAGGUGAUUCCUGAACGAAAUUGCUAUGUGUUUCUCGUUGUUAAGUAUUUCUGAAGCAUUUUGAUUGAGGCAUUUCUGAAAACUGAGUAUUGAUAGCUGUAUUCAUUUUUCUGGUUAUUUUGAUCUUUUAUUGUUAAUCCUGUAUAAUGUUUGUAGAAAUCUGUUAAUUUUGGCUGUUGGAACUUUCAUGAGCUUAUUAGUGACCCAAGUUUGAUUGACCAGGGUCAAUUAUGACUAAACUAAGGUCAAGGAUUUGACUAAGGUCAAAAUUCAGGGUUGGGGGUAAUUGGGAAAGAAAGUGAGGGUAUAAGAGGAAUUUGAACCUGUAAAAUAUUUGAUAGAAAGCCCUUAGAACCUUCUAGCAAGGACUAAAACAUAAUUCUUGCCUAAAACUUGAGGCACAAGUUAGGAAUUGAAGGACUACUUAGGCAAAGUAUAAAUUUGAGUUAAGGACUAAAAAGAAAACAAGGCAAAAUCUGAUGCCCUAAAAGCUUUACUAUAAAUGAAUCAGCUGGGCAUUGAAAAGGGGAUCCGGAAACCUUCUCUUUGAAUACUAAAGCUGAAAUACUUAUUCCUAUAUCUGAAAAUACUAGUAGUACUGUUUUGAAUCAUUUUUCAGAAGAUUUAACUCUCUAAAAAUUCUGCAAAAGUCUGGAUACACUGUUUGAUUGGCUGUUGAUUACUUAGCUGGUCUCUUAUAUUUACUCAUAGGCUCCUGUUUUACUUGAAUUACAGGUACAUUUCCUUUUUCAUUUGAUACAUUGAAGUUCAAGUAUAAAAUAUUCGUGAAUGUGCAAAUUUGAGUUCCACUGUAUCAUUCUAAACUAUUUCCCUGUUUCCCCUAGUUCAGUUGGGAUAUAGUUGUAGUGAUAAGGUAGUCAUUAUAUUGUAACUAAAGUUGGACUAUCUCAUUCUGUAAUAAUUGGACUUUAGAGACUGGUUUGUUUGUAAUAACUGGACAUUCAAUUUAUUUUUAGUAUGAACUAUCAGUAGUGCUGAUAGUUA